RNAcentral lists this ribosomal RNA (492 nucleotides) under uncultured bacterium. RNAcentral describes it as "partial 16S ribosomal RNA". It matches the Rfam family "Bacterial small subunit ribosomal RNA", at positions 29 to 507 of the family's 1533-position model. The record is from RNAcentral.
AGUGAACGCUGGCGGUAGGCCUAACACAUGCAAGUCGAACGGCAGCACAGUAAGAGCUUGCUCUUACGGGUGGCGAGUGGCGGACGGGUGAGGAAUACAUCGGAAUCUACUUUUUCGUGGGGGCUAACGUAGGGAAACUUACGCUAAUACCGCAUACGACCUACGGGUGAAAGCAGGGGAUCUUCGGACCUUGCGCGAUUGAAUGAGCCGAUGUCGGAUUAGCUAGUUGGCGGGGUAAAGGCCCACCAAGGCGACGAUCCGUAGCUGGUCUGAGAGGAUGAUCUGCCACACUGGAACUGAGACACGGUCCAGACUCCUACGGGAGGCAGCAGUGGGGAAUAUUGGACAAUGGGCGCAAGCCUGAUCCAGCCAUACCGCGUGGGUGAAGAAGGCCUUCGGGUUGUAAAGCCCUUUUGUUGGGAAAGAAAAGCAGCAGGUUAAUACCCCGCUGUUCUGACGGUACCCAAAGAAUAAGCACCGGCUAACUUCGUG